CGGGGAGUAGCGCAGUCUGGUAGCGCAUCUGCUUUGGGAGCAGAGGGUCGGAGGUUCGAAUCCUCUCUCCCCGACCA
Molecule: transfer RNA, 77 nt
Filed under: Allomeiothermus silvanus
Lineage: Bacteria; Thermotogati; Deinococcota; Deinococci; Thermales; Thermaceae
Also listed under: 1 other name
Description: Meiothermus silvanus tRNA-Pro
Rfam family: tRNA
About the family: Transfer RNA (tRNA) molecules are approximately 80 nucleotides in length. Their secondary structure includes four short double-helical elements and three loops (D, anti-codon, and T loops).
Source: RNAcentral